AGCAGCCGCGGUAAUUCCAGCUCCAAUAGCGUAUAUUAAAGUUGUUGCAGUUAAAAAGCUCGUAGUUGAAUUUCGGGAUCAAUACGUCGGUCGUGCUUCGGUACGUACUAACGUCAUUGAUUUCUCCCUUCUGACGAAUCGUGAUGUCAUUAAUUUGGUGUUACGGGGAGUUAGGACUGUUACUUUGAAAAAAUUAGAGUGUUUAGAGCAAGCAAUCGCUCGAAUACAUUAGCAUGGAAUAAUGAAAUAGGACGUUCGAACCUAUUUUGUUGGUUUCUAGGAUCGACGUAAUGAUUAAUAGGGAUAGUUGGGGGCAUUAGUAUUCAAUUGUCAGAGGUGAAAUUCUUGGAUUUAUUGAAGACUAACUACUGCGAAAGCAUUUGCCAAGGAUGUUUUCAUUAAUCAAGAACGAAAGUUAGGGGAUCGAAGACGAUCAGAUACCGUCGUAGCCUUAACCAUAAACUAUGCCGACUAGGGAUCGGAUGAUGUUAAUUUUAUAAUGACUCAUUCGGCGCCUUAC
This 520-nucleotide ribosomal RNA is filed under the name uncultured Glomus. RNAcentral's name for it is "SSU rRNA". It matches the Rfam family "Eukaryotic small subunit ribosomal RNA", at positions 569 to 1091 of the family's 1831-position model. Lineage: Eukaryota; Fungi; Glomeromycota; Glomeromycetes; Glomerales; Glomeraceae. The record is from RNAcentral.